AUACGUAGGUGACAAGCGUUAUCCGGAUUUACUGGGCGUAAAGGGCGUGUAGGCGGUCUUGCAAGUCAGAAGUGAAAUUCCUGAGCUCAACUCGGGCGCUGCUUCUGAAACUGCAGGACUUGAGUGCUGGAGGGGAUAGCGGAAUUCCUAGUGGAGCGGUAAAAUGCGCAGAUAUUAGGAAGAACACCGGUGGCGAAGGCGGAUUUGUGGAAAAGAACUGACGGUUAGGAGAGAAAGCGUGGGGAGCAAACAGGUUUAGAUCCCAUGGUAUUCCACGCCGUAAACGAUGAAUACUAGGUGUAGGGGGUAUCGACUCCCUCUGUGCCGCAGUUAACACAAUAAGUAUUCCGCCUGGGGAGUACGGCCGCAAGGUUGAAACUCAAAGGAAUGGGCGGGG
RNAcentral lists this ribosomal RNA (397 nucleotides) under uncultured bacterium. RNAcentral describes it as "partial 16S ribosomal RNA". It matches the Rfam family "Bacterial small subunit ribosomal RNA", at positions 523 to 918 of the family's 1533-position model. The record is from RNAcentral.